GCAAGUCGAGCGAACUGAUUAGAAGCUUGCUUCUAUGACGUUAGCGGCGGACGGGUGAGUAACACGUGGGCAACCUGCCUGUAAGACUGGGAUAACUUCGGGAAACCGAAGCUAAUACCGGAUAGGAUCUUCUCCUUCAUGGGAGAUGAUUGAAAGAUGGUUUCGGCUAUCACUUACAGAUGGGCCCGCGGUGCAUUAGCUAGUUGGUGAGGUAACGGCUCACCAAGGCAACGAUGCAUAGCCGACCUGAGAGGGUGAUCGGCCACACUGGGACUGAGACACGGCCCAGACUCCUACGGGAGGCAGCAGUAGGGAAUCUUCCGCAAUGGACGAAAGUCUGACGGAGCAACGCCGCGUGAGUGAUGAAGGCUUUCGGGUCGUAAAACUCUGUUGUUAGGGAAGAACAAGUACGAGAGUAACUGCUCGUACCUUGACGGUACCUAACCAGAA
Molecule: ribosomal RNA, 450 nt
Filed under: Priestia megaterium
Lineage: Bacteria; Bacillati; Bacillota; Bacilli; Caryophanales; Bacillaceae
Description: bacterial SSU rRNA
Rfam family: Bacterial small subunit ribosomal RNA
Source: RNAcentral